Molecule: ribosomal RNA, 239 nt
Filed under: uncultured bacterium
Lineage: Bacteria
Description: partial 16S ribosomal RNA
Rfam family: Bacterial small subunit ribosomal RNA
Source: RNAcentral
UAACCUGCCUUGUAGCGGGGGAGUAACUAUUGGAAACGAUAGCUAAUACCGCAUAACAAUGGAUGACACAUGUCAUUUAUUUGAAAGGGGCAAUUGCUCCACUACAAGAUGGACCUGCGUUGUAUUAGCUAGUAGGUGAGGUAAUGGCUCACCUAGGCGACGAUACAUAGCCGACCUGAGAGGGUGAUCGGCCACACUGGGACUGAGACACGGCCCAGACUCCUACGGGAGGCAGCAUG